GACGAACGCUGGCGGCGUGCCUAACACAUGCAAGUCGAACGGACAGGCCCUGCUCUUGCUCGGUUCUCGUUUGGCGCACGCGUGUGUAAAACGCGAGUAACCCGUCCUUGACUUUGGGAUAACAUCUCGGAACAGGGGCUCUUAUCGGAUAGGAGAUCCUGCUCCACGUUGGUCGAUGGUAAAUUUCGGCGGUUGGGGCUGGACUCGAGGCUUAUCCGCUUGUUGGUGGGGUAGGGGCUUACCAAGGCUUCGACGGGUAGCCGGCCUGGGAGGUUGACCGGGCACAUGGGGACUAAGAGACGGCGCAGACGCCUACGGGAGGCAGCGGGGGGGAGUAUGGCACAAUGGGCGGAAGCCUGAUGCAGCAGCGCCGCGUGCGGGAUGACGGCCUACGGGUGGUAAACCGCUUUCGCCUGUGACGAAGCGUGAGUGACGGUAAUGGGGAAAGAAGCACCGGCUAACUACGU
This 467-nucleotide ribosomal RNA is filed under the name uncultured bacterium. Its description in RNAcentral is "partial 16S ribosomal RNA". It matches the Rfam family "Bacterial small subunit ribosomal RNA", at positions 28 to 506 of the family's 1533-position model. The record is from RNAcentral.